UUGCUGUGUUCUGACUCCCCAGGGCAGGAAAGAGAUUCUUGGAGCCUUUUUCCUCCGCGAACAGCAGCGAGGCUAACAGAGGGAGUUUCACUGGGAUCUGUCCGAGAGGAGGUACACUAAGAGCUGCAUUACGGGGCUGUGUUGGACAGAAGCAACUUUGUCUGUACAAAGUGCAAGCUGGUCUCCACAUUGGAAGAGAAGGUUCAAAGUCUAGGAGAAACAAGUAUCAACCCUGCAUUGCAUAAGAGAAAAUGAAGAUUUCCUGGACAGACAUCAGGAUAUGCUUCUACGGGCACAACAUUCUGAAAAAUCAGAGCAGGCUGCACAGCAGGGACAGAAGGACGGUAAAGAAAAUUAGCAGCAUGUGACCUCCAGAAGAAGAAAGAGGAGCAUCCAUGUACCAGCAAUGCAGAUACAGAGAGGCAGGGAGCAAGGAAAGAAAAGAAGAUGGGGGCCCACUGCCCACCUGUUACAUCACUCCUCUCCAUUAUUAUCUUCACACCUUCCUAAAACAACAUGGUAAACAAGGGAAGGCUUCCAGGGUUCAAUUAUGGAAUUCAACAGCAGCGAGUGAUCACCACUACAACACUGAUAAUAUAGACAGCAGAGCACCCCCACUACUCUUUGGUAAUCUGACGAAGCAGAAACCUGUGAGACUGGGCCUAGAGCCAUCUGUUACCACAGAAACAGGUUUAAUCUGCCCUAAAUCUACCUUGUAACUCUGUCCCAACAGUUAACAUGUGCAAUAAAAAAAUCUGUCUGUCCUGCAUAAUUUUACUGUCAAAUAAUUCAGAAAAUAUACAUGUUAUUUAAAUGAAAAAAAAAAAUCUCUGUUGGCUGGGCUGUCUUGGUGAGAACGGAGAAGAUGGACCUAGAAUUAAGUGUUGCUCCAACUCAUUCCUGAGGGGCUUUUCCUUUCAGUCUUCCUCAAUAGGCCAGCAUUCCACUUUGGCCAGGAUAGCUUACCUCAGAGCUAGCAUUUGUUGUCUUCAUGGGCAUACAAAGGCCUAAAGGCCACAGCUAUUUUCAACUGCACAGAGCCACAGAGGCUCGCAUGAUUAUGUGGGAAAGGGGCAUGUAUAAUGUUAUCUCUAUCAUUUGCAUAAUAGCAACAUAUCGAUAACCCAGGUGAAAUAAGGUAGAGAGUGUUUAGAGCUGGGCAGGAAUAUAAUAUAGGCAUACAGGCACUGCUAAGAAAAUGUAUAUCCUUUUUCUUUCUCAGUCUGUUUCUUUAGAUUGUAAGCUCUUCAGCUAGGACUUGCUUUACUCCAUAUUCUGUAACGUGCCUUGCAAACU
Non-coding RNA from Caretta caretta (loggerhead turtle), 1296 nucleotides. Lineage: Eukaryota; Metazoa; Chordata; Testudines; Cheloniidae. The record is from RefSeq and is a predicted model, not a curated record.